RNAcentral lists this ribosomal RNA (445 nucleotides) under uncultured bacterium. Its description in RNAcentral is "partial 16S ribosomal RNA". It matches the Rfam family "Bacterial small subunit ribosomal RNA", at positions 354 to 796 of the family's 1533-position model. The record is from RNAcentral.
GUGAGGAAUAUUGGUCAAUGGGCGAGAGCCUGAACCAGCCAAGUCGCGUGAAGGAAGAAGGAUCUAUGGUUCGUAAACUUCUUUUGCAGGGGAAUAAAGUGCAGGACGUGUCCUGUUUUGUAUGUACCCUGAGAAUAAGGAUCGGCUAACUCCGUGCCAGCAGCCGCGGUAAUACGGAGGAUCCGAGCGUUAUCCGGAUUUAUUGGGUUUAAAGGGGGCGUAGGUGGUUUGAUAAGUCAGCGGUGAAAGUUUGCAGCUUAACUGUAAAAAUGCCCUUGAAACUGUCGGACUUGAGUGUAAAUGAGGUAGGCGGAAUGCGUGGUGUAGCGGUGAAAUGCAUAGAUAUCACGCAGAACUCCGAUUGCGAAGGCAGCUUACUAAGCUACAACUGACACUGAAGCACGAAAGCGUGGGGAUCAAACAGGAUUAGAAACCCUAGUAGUCC